This 1167-nucleotide long non-coding RNA is filed under the name Pan troglodytes (chimpanzee). RNAcentral's name for it is "long non-coding RNA NONPTRT003616". The record is from RNAcentral. Lineage: Eukaryota; Metazoa; Chordata; Mammalia; Primates; Hominidae.
GUUGCCUUAAUUAAGGAGAGAUGGAUAAUAUUUUCUUGGAUGAAAGUGAUAGAGGUGAGGAUGAAGAGAAGUGGUCAGAUUCUACAUACAAUUAUCAGAGAAACAGGAGUUCCUGAGAAUGUGGAUAUGAUGAGAAGUGACUCAGGGGAAGGAUGAUGUCAAGCUGUUGUCAAGCCAAUUGCAUGGAAAGAGAAGAAUUAACGUGAUCUCCCUUCAAAAUGAUGGAUUCCCUGGCUCCACAUUCAUCAUCUGGCUCACCAUUACCAACUCUUUGCAGUCCAUUGCAGGGUGACCUUGUUAGCACUGUCUGUGCACUUUCUGUGAUAGCGGGCUGCCUGGGGGCCCUGCAUGUGUGGUGUGGGUUAAUGAGGGUCUGAGUCAUCAAGUUAGAAACUCACCUUUCCAGCCAUCAGAUCCAGAAAUGCUAGAAAAAGGCACAGGGCUCAUAAUCAGACAUGCCAUGUUGACCAAAGAGUAAUGUCUCAUCCUGGUGAGAUCGUCCACAGGACCUGUGCUGAAUAAUUGUCAGGCAGCCAUGAGACCAUGGUAAGCUCCCAUACUAUCUAGAGGUCAAUUUAUCAUCCAAGAUGGCCUGCUUUGCAGAUUGCAGCAUGCAUACCCUCUGCAGCACCAGGUAGCAGGCAGCAGGAGAGGUAGCCCCACAAUAACACAGCAUGUGUCCCUAGAGCAUCUUCUUAUUGAAAUGGGAGAUUUAAAACCUUUUAAAGAAAACUAAUGGUCCUGUUUGUUGUCUAAGGAUAAAGACGAGUACAUUUUAAUGGUGAAAUAAAGAAACUUCAAAUAAAUUUUGCACUUGAAGCUGGCCUUCUGAGUCCCUCUCUCAAACCUGCCCCCAUCUCAUAGUUUCCCACUCCCCUGCUGCUCAGGAUACUUCAGUGGGAAAGUUUAAACAAAACACACUAAGACAGUGUUUUCCAAACAGUGGGUCAUGACCCAUUAGUGGACUGUGAAAAUAAAUUUAGUGGAUACAACCAACAUUAAAAAAUAAAAAAAAGAAAUAGGAGCUGGGUGCAGUGGUGUGUGCCUGUAGUCUCAGGUACUUGGGAGGCUGAGUGGGGAGGAUUGCUUGAGUCUAGAAGUUCGAGGCUGCAAUGAUCUAUGAUGGUGCUUGUGAAUAGCCACUGAGUCUAGCCUGGGCAACAUAGC